Molecule: ribosomal RNA, 723 nt
Filed under: uncultured fungus
Lineage: Eukaryota; Fungi
Description: eukaryotic LSU rRNA
Rfam family: 5.8S ribosomal RNA (bases 196-350)
Source: RNAcentral
CUGCGGAAGGAUCAUUAUCGAACAAGAAGGGGGAAAGACUGUCGCUGGCGAAAGCAUGUGCACGUCCAACCUUUUCUAUUACACACCCGUGCACCUUUUGUAGGUCCUCGAAAGAGGAUCUAUGUAUUUCAUCAUCACACCUAUCGUAUGUCUAGAAUGUCAUCGUCGACCACUGGGCGGCGAAAUAAAUAAUACAACUUUCAGCAACGGAUCUCUUGGCUCUCGCAUCGAUGAAGAACGCAGCGAAUUGCGAUAAGUAAUGUGAAUUGCAGAUUUUCAGUGAAUCAUCGAAUCUUUGAACGCACCUUGCGCUCCUUGGUAUUCCGAGGAGCAUGCCUGUUUGAGUGUCAUUAAAUUAUCAACCUUGUUCGCUUUUACGAGCUUGAGCGAGGCUUGGGUGUGAGGGCUUGCUGGCUUCCUUCAGUGGAUGGUCUGCUCCCUUUAAAUGCAUUAGUGGGAUCUCUUGUGGACCGUCACUUGGUGUGAUAAUUAUCUAUGCCAUUUGACUGUGAAGCAAAAUUAUGGGAACCUGCUUAUAACCGUCUCGCAAGGGACAAUUUAAUUGACUAUUUGACCUCAAAUCAGGUAGGACUACCCGCUGAACUUAAGCAUAUCAAUAAGCGGAGGAAAAGAAACUAACAAGGAUUCCCCUAGUAACUGCGAGUGAAGCGGGAAAAGCUCAAAUUUAAAAUCUGGCGGUCCCUGUGGCCGUCCGAGUUGAAU